Molecule: ribosomal RNA, 465 nt
Filed under: Vreelandella stevensii
Lineage: Bacteria; Pseudomonadati; Pseudomonadota; Gammaproteobacteria; Oceanospirillales; Halomonadaceae
Description: partial 16S ribosomal RNA
Rfam family: Bacterial small subunit ribosomal RNA
Source: RNAcentral
CCUACGGGUGGCAGCAGUGGGGAAUAUUGGACAAUGGGCGAAAGCCUGAUCCAGCCAUGCCGCGUGUGUGAAGAAGGCCUUCGGGUUGUAAAGCACUUUCAGUGGGGAAGAAAGCCUUGGGGCUAAUACCCUCGAGGAAGGACAUCACCCACAGAAGAAGCACCGGCUAACUCCGUGCCAGCAGCCGCGGUAAUACGGAGGGGGCGAGCGUUAAUCGGAAUUACUGGGCGUAAAGCGCGCGUAGGCGGUCUGUUAAGCCGGUUGUGAAAGCCCCGGGCUCAACCUGGGAACGGCAUCCGGAACUGUCAGGCUAGAGUGCAGGAGAGGAAGGUAGAAUUCCCGGUGUAGCGGUGAAAUGCGUAGAGAUCGGGAGGAAUACCAGUGGCGAAGGCGGCCUUCUGGACUGACACUGACGCUGAGGUGCGAAAGCGUGGGUAGCAAACAGGAUUAGAUACCCUAGUAGUC